CAAAUCCUAAUACAGUCUCAAAUUUCCAAACCAUGGUCGAAAAAACCUUUUUUUUAGCCGUAUGAAUGAAUCAUAUUGAACCUAUCGAAUUUCAUUGAGUCAUCAUUGUCAAACUGCAACGUCAGAUCGCGUUUAAUAAAAGAGUCGACAAAUUAAAUAAGUAGUUGCACGAAAAGUCGGUCGAUAUAAGAAAGGUCGAUAUUGAAAAGAGGGUUUUUGAUUCAACUCGGAUCAAAAUCGAUUACUUGGGGUCAAAAAUCAUAUCAAAUCGAAAGAGGUAAUCCAAUUCGAAGGAGGAGAAGAUAAUCGGACUCUAAUAAUAUUGUGUUAUUGCUACAGUCGCCGAAUUUUGUGCAUAUUUCCCUCAAUAAAAUCGAAUGUUUACACAAAAUUAAAUAAACAUUCGGUUUUGGACAAGACAAGUUGAUGUCAAUAAGGUUACUCACCGCAAUUACAGUCGAUCAAAGUCACCGUUAUGGAAAAACAGUGGAAAAGCCAAUUGAAAACAUGGAAAGAGUUGAGGGAUCAGUCAGAUAUGCUGAUAAAACGAACACUGGAAAAACAUUUUCCAUGCGAUUAUGCGAGUCCACGACCGGAAAUGGCUCACACAUCAUAUCAACAAGCGGAAUCGUCGAUUGGUCGUGCGUUGUGGGUUUAUGCACGUGCUGAUCUAACCAUAAAAGGCAUUCAAUUACAACCAAAAGGGCCGCGAAACAAAUAACCUAAAAAUCAAUUGAAUAUUUUUUUGUAAAUCAGCGACGAAACGGAGUAAUAAAAUUACACGAAAUUUAGAA
Long non-coding RNA from Contarinia nasturtii (swede midge), 794 nucleotides. RefSeq lists it as uncharacterized. The transcript is spliced from 2 exons. The record is from RefSeq and is a predicted model, not a curated record. NCBI's taxonomy places the organism in Eukaryota, Metazoa, Arthropoda, Insecta, Diptera, Cecidomyiidae.